Podarcis lilfordi (Lilford's wall lizard) is the source of this 75-nucleotide non-coding RNA. The record is from the annotation of a GenBank genome assembly. NCBI's taxonomy places the organism in Eukaryota, Metazoa, Chordata, Lepidosauria, Squamata, Lacertidae.
GGAGGUCUGUGGCUCAGUAGGUAAGUCACUUGCUUUGCAUGCAGAAGGUCCCAGGUUCAAUCCCUGGCGAUUCCA